Lactuca sativa (garden lettuce) is the source of this 105-nucleotide small nucleolar RNA. The record is from RefSeq and is a predicted model, not a curated record. NCBI's taxonomy places the organism in Eukaryota, Viridiplantae, Streptophyta, Magnoliopsida, Asterales, Asteraceae.
AAAUCAUGUUGAGGGCAACUUCUUAGCAAACCCUUGUAUAUCCCACAAUUCAUAUAAUGAUUCUCCCAACUCUUGUUAGAAGUUAGAAAUAUUCUUUUUGAUUUU